GGUAGUUUGACUGGGGCGGUCCUCCCAAAGAGUAACGGAGGCGCGCGAUGGUUGGCUCAGGACGGUCGGAAAUCGUCUGUGAGAGUGUAAGGGCACAAGCCAGCCUGACUGUGACACCGACGGGUGGAGCAGAGACGAAAGUCGGUCCUAGUGAUCCGGUGGUCCCGCGUGGAAGGGCCAUCGCUCAACGGACAAAAGGUACUCCGGGGA
RNAcentral lists this ribosomal RNA (210 nucleotides) under Symbiodinium sp. clade D. Its description in RNAcentral is "partial Bacterial large subunit ribosomal RNA". It matches the Rfam family "Bacterial large subunit ribosomal RNA", at positions 2264 to 2474 of the family's 2925-position model. The record is from RNAcentral. Lineage: Eukaryota; Dinophyceae; Suessiales; Symbiodiniaceae.